RNAcentral lists this ribosomal RNA (253 nucleotides) under uncultured bacterium. RNAcentral describes it as "partial 16S ribosomal RNA". It matches the Rfam family "Bacterial small subunit ribosomal RNA", at positions 524 to 776 of the family's 1533-position model. The record is from RNAcentral.
UACGUAGGCAGCGAGCGUUGUUCGGAGUUACUGGGCGUAAAGGGUGCGUAGGCGGUUGUUUAAGGUUGGUGUGAAAUCUCCCGGCUCAACUGGGAGGGUGCGCCGAAUACUGAAUGACUAGAGUGCGGGAGAGGAUAGUGGAAUUCCUGGUGUAGCGGUGAAAUGCGUAGAUAUCAGGAGGAACACCGGUGGUGUAGACGGCUAUCUGGACCGUAACUGACGCUGAGGCACGAAAGCGUGGGUAGCAAACAGG